RNAcentral lists this ribosomal RNA (508 nucleotides) under uncultured bacterium. Its description in RNAcentral is "bacterial SSU rRNA". It matches the Rfam family "Bacterial small subunit ribosomal RNA", at positions 29 to 524 of the family's 1533-position model. The record is from RNAcentral.
AGCGAACGCUGGCGGCGUGCUUUAACACAUGCAAGUCGAGUGCGCAGUUUUCCUGUAGCAAUACAGGGGAAUGGGCGCACGGCGCACGGGUGAGUAACACGUGGACAACCUGCCCUACAAUGGGGGAUAACCCGCCGAAAGGCGGGCUAAUACCGCAUGACAUUACAGUGGCUUCGGCCGCUGGAAUCAAAGGCCGCAAGGCCGUUGGAGGAGGGGCCCGCGCCCGAUUAGCUAGUUGGUGAGGUAACGGCUCACCAAGGCAUUGAUCGGUAGCCGGUCUGAGAGGAUGGCCGGCCACGCUGGAACUGAGACACGGUCCAGACUCCUACGGGAGGCAGCAGUGGGGAAUCUUGCGCAAUGGGCGAAAAGCCUGACGCAGCGACGCCGCGUGGGGGAUGAAGCAUCUCGGUGUGUAAACCCCUUUCGACCCGGAAGAAUGUCCCCGCAAGGGAUUGACGGUACGGGUAUAAGAAGCCCCGGCUAACUACGUGCCAGCCGCCGCCGUAAU